This 462-nucleotide ribosomal RNA is filed under the name uncultured bacterium. RNAcentral's name for it is "bacterial SSU rRNA". It matches the Rfam family "Bacterial small subunit ribosomal RNA", at positions 28 to 507 of the family's 1533-position model. The record is from RNAcentral.
GAUGAACGCUGGCGGCGUGCUUAAUACAUGCAAGUCGAACGGAGAGAGUAGCAAUACUGUCUUAGUGGCGAACGGGUGAGUAACGCGUUGGUGACCUGCCCCGAAGAGGGGGAUAACAGUUCGAAAGGACUGCUAAUACCCCAUGAUAUCUACCCGGUUAGAGGAGGUAGAUGAAAGGAGAGAUCCGCUUUGGGAGGGGCCUGCGUCCCAUCAGCUAGUUGGUAGGGUAAAGGCCUACCAAGGCAAAGACGGGUAGGGGGCCUGAGAGGGUGACCCCCCACACUGGCACUGAAACACGGGCCAGACACCUACGGGUGGCAGCAGUAGGGAAUAUUGCACAAUGGGCGAAAGCCUGAUGCAGCAACGCCGCGUGCGCGAUGACGGCCUUCGGUUGGUAAGACGCUUUUCGGGUAGGAUGAGGAAGGACAGUAUCCCCGGAACUAAGGCUCGGCUAACUACGUG